UACGGAGGGGGCGAGCGUUAUUCGGAAUUAUUGGGCGUAAAGGGCGCGUAGGCGGCCUUGUAAGUCAAAGGUGAAAUCCCUCGGCUCAACUGAGGAACUGCCUUUGAAACUGCAAGGCUUGAGGCCGGGAGGGGGUAGCGGAAUUCCCAAUGUAGCGGUGAAAUGCGUAGAUAUCGGAAGGAACAUCAGUGGCGAAAGCGGCUUCCUGGACCAGAACUGACGAUCAGGCACGAAAGCGUGGGGAGCAAACAGG
This 253-nucleotide ribosomal RNA is filed under the name uncultured bacterium. Its description in RNAcentral is "partial 16S ribosomal RNA". It matches the Rfam family "Bacterial small subunit ribosomal RNA", at positions 524 to 776 of the family's 1533-position model. The record is from RNAcentral.